GAUGAACGCUGGCGGCGUGCCUAACACAUGCAAGUCGAGCGAUUCUCUUCGGAGAAGAGCGGCGGACGGGUGAGUAACGCGUGGGUAACCUGCCCUGUACACACGGGUAACAUACCGAAAGGUAUGCUAAUACGAGAUAAUAUGCUUUUAUCGCCUGGUAGAAGUAUCAAAGCUCCGGCGGUACAGGAUGGACCCGCGUCUGAUUAGCUAGUUGGUAAGGUAACGGCUUACCAAGGCGACGAUCAGUAGCCGACCUGAGAGGGUGAUCGGCCACAUUGGAACUGAGACACGGUCCAAACUCCUACGGGAGGCAGCAGUGGGGAAUAUUGCACAAUGGGCGAAAGCCUGAUGGAGCAACGCCGCGUGCAGGAUGAAGGCCCUCGGGUCGUAAACUGCUUUUAUGUGAGAAGAAUAUGACGGUAACACAUGAAUAAGGGUCGGCUAACUACGUGCCAGCAGCCGCAGUAA
Molecule: ribosomal RNA, 468 nt
Filed under: uncultured bacterium
Lineage: Bacteria
Description: partial 16S ribosomal RNA
Rfam family: Bacterial small subunit ribosomal RNA
Source: RNAcentral